Long non-coding RNA from Trichechus manatus latirostris (Florida manatee), 2373 nucleotides. RefSeq lists it as uncharacterized. Lineage: Eukaryota; Metazoa; Chordata; Mammalia; Sirenia; Trichechidae. The transcript is spliced from 8 exons. The record is from RefSeq and is a predicted model, not a curated record.
GGCGCGUUUGUUCUCAUUUUUGCGCUGCUUUCGGUAAGUGGUUGUGUGAUUUGUUUGGUGUGGUUAUUUUUCUUAAUAGUGUGGCGCGCCUUAGGCUUUGGCUCUGCAUUGCACUUACUUGGGAGACUGGGUGGCGCAUUAGCGGUUGUCUCGUACGUGGCAGCGGUACGGCGGGGCUUUGUCAAGGACAAAAUGGCGAUUGGCGGGCCGUGCUCUCGGCCCUCCCUGUGAUGAGGACCUUCUCACAGACCUGUACUGAGCUUUGUGAGGAUAACUAACUCUGAGGAUACAGGGCCCUCGCAGCCGAUGUCCCACGUUGUUGUCUCCAGAAAGAGGAGUGCUCAUACCCACUGCUAACAACGCUUUUUUGUCUGCAGGAAGAGGCGCGCUUUUGAACGCUAAAGAAUCUUGAAGAGACUUCUGUCUGUUGGAGUAAGUGAUUAUGGCCAUUCUUUAUCUCUGUUCCUGCAUUGUUGGUUGUAUGAAUGUGCUAUGAGGAUGAUUACCAAUUGAACUCUCUCUUUCUGAGGGAUUAGUGGAGAAGACUUUAAAAUUCUGAGUAGCACCACCUGCAGCAAAUGUCUCUUUUUGUUUUUUGGAGUUUUAUUGUACUCUACUUUGCCAUGUUAAGACACUGACAGAAUGCAGUUGACGUCCUAAGGGUGUAAAGCUCAGUGAAGGAUAUGCUUCAUUUUUUCAGAUGUGGAUUAGCUCAGUAGAGCUUACUAGUUGGAGGAUGGGACAAAACACAGUCCUCUACAAAAGAUUGGCUGUAACUGGGCCCGAAGAGCGUGUGGUACUUCACCUACAACAACCUUCUGGUGCUACUCUUCAAAUCUAGCAUUACAGUGAUGCUCCAACAUCUCAUCACUGAUCCUGAAGAAUUCAGGUGCCUCCCAGAUUGAAUUCAGGUUGUGAUGAUGCCAUACUCAUCUGUCUUAGAAGCAGCUUGAACAUGGAUACCAGUGAAAAGCCCCCAGAGUUAAGAGGUACUGCUAACGGUGAGCUGGUCGUUGGCUAAAAAGUAAGUGAUUUCAAUAUGUUAAUAUGCACGCGGCAUAUAGGGUGGAGAAAGGUGCCUUCUCAGGCCCUUCUGUAUGAUGACGUACAUGGAAUCUCGUUCGGCUGAUGACUUGCUGCUGAGACAUGGAAAUCUGAUUUUUUGGGAGAUAAGGGCUUGGACAAGAACACCUUAAUAGAUAUUGCCAACUGAGUCUUAUUUGUUGCAGGUGCAGCAUCUUGCCUGGGGCACUAGCGAUGAUUUGAGGGAGACUGGAAGCCAUAUGUCUCCUCAGUCCUGGUCUGAGGUUAGAGGUCUGAGGAAAGGAGCAAGGUACAUUUAAAUGGAACCAAGCUCUUGGAUAUGUUGAAAUCAGCGUGCAGUCAUUUCAGUCUGUCUACUACCUCUCAAUAAAGCCUUUUUUUUGUUUGUACCUUGAGUGUAGUUUGUGUGGGCGUAGGUAGCUUGGCAAAAUGAAAUAAGCCCUGAGAAUUCACUAUCAUAGGCUCUGCCCAGCUUAGUGUGGUAAUUUACCUAAUGCUCUAUUGCCUAGUCCAGAGAAGAACAUUCCUAACACUGCUGAUCUCAUCUAAGUCUUUGCAGUUGCUGUUUUUCCAUAUAUAUCAUUUAUUAGCAGUGUAUAAAUUCCAUGUAUAAUGUUAUCAUGUUGACCUAAGUAGAUCUAGCUUCAAAAAUACUUCCACUGAACAUCCAUCUUGGUGCCCAUACACCACUAUAUCUGAGCAUGAAUUUAAGAUACAGUGAAGUUCCUCAAAGAUGAGCUGCUUGGUUGAUCUCCAGAGAAGCACAUUUACAAUCUCACAAAAAGGUUAGGUGGGAACCAAGAUGAAGUACUUAACUGCAAGCAAGUAAGCCUUUGCAGAAGUAGUUCUGUUCUGCAAGAAGUCAGGUCACCGUGAGUUGGCAGCCAGUAUGCAUUUGCUCAUAGCACAGAUCUUGGCAGGCAAGUGCUAAAAGCAUCCACAGAGAACAGGCUUGUAUGUACAUUGUGUACUGUGAGAGAAGGAAUAGGGAAAGUGGUUACCAAAAAGUACUAGGGGGUUAACUCUUAGACUAGGCUAUAAACUUUGGGAGAUGAGGCCACUGUUAAUUUAAGCCAGAGUUAGGAAAUUUAGCUAAGAGGCAGUGGGACAAGCUACAGAGAGGCCAGCAUAGAGCAGAAUCCACAAGAAAUGUCUGGUAGAUAAUAAAAGCCUCCUGCAAGCCUUGUUCGCACGCAAUUUGGCAAAUUAGGCCCCAGGUUGGGUUCUGUCAAGUCGAUUUUCAAUUCUUAGCUAUACUGUGACAGAACUGCCUUGGUGUCUCUAGGCAGAACUGCCUUGGUGUCUCUAGGCUGUAAUGUUUAUGGGAUA